GACGAACGCUGGCGGCGUGCUUAACACAUGCAAGUCGAGCGGUAAGGCCCUUUCGGGGGUACACGAGCGGCGAACGGGUGAGUAACACGUGGGUGACCUGCCCUCAGCUCUGGGAUAAGCCUGGGAAACCGGGUCUAAUACUGGAUAUGACUCCAUGACGCAUGUUGUGGGGUGGAAAGCCUUGUGCGGCUGAGGAUGGGCCCGCGGCCUAUCAGCUUGUUGGUGGGGUGANGGCCUACCAAGGCGACGACGGGUAGCCGGCCUGAGGGGGCGACCGGCCACACUGGGACUGAGACACGGCCCAGACUCCUACGGGAGGCAGCAGUGGGGAAUCUUGCGCAAUGGGGCGAAAAGCCCUGACGCAGCGACGCCGCGCGAGGGAUGACGGCCU
RNAcentral lists this ribosomal RNA (391 nucleotides) under uncultured bacterium. RNAcentral describes it as "bacterial SSU rRNA". It matches the Rfam family "Bacterial small subunit ribosomal RNA", at positions 28 to 417 of the family's 1533-position model. The record is from RNAcentral.